RNAcentral lists this ribosomal RNA (773 nucleotides) under uncultured Neocallimastigales. RNAcentral describes it as "partial large subunit ribosomal RNA". It matches the Rfam family "Eukaryotic large subunit ribosomal RNA", at positions 18 to 643 of the family's 3401-position model. Lineage: Eukaryota; Fungi; Neocallimastigomycota; Neocallimastigomycetes; Neocallimastigales. The record is from RNAcentral.
UAGACGAUGCGUCAUGCAUAUCAAUAAGCGGAGGAAAAGAAACUAACAAGGAUUCCCUUAGUAACGGCGAGUGAAGCGGGAAGAGCUCAAAUUUGAAAUCUUAAAGGGUUUCCCUUUACGAAUUGUAGUUUAAAGAAGUGUUUUCUGUUGAGGUUUUGGUAAAAGUUCUUUGGAAUAGGACAUCAUAGAGGGUGAGAAUCCCGUAUUUGACCUUUACUUUCAACUUUGUGAUACACUUUCAAAGAGUCGGAUUGUUUGGGAAUGCAGUCCAAAAUGGGUGGUAAAUUUCAUCUAAAGCUAAAUAUUGGCGAGAGACCGAUAGCGAACAAGUACCGUGAGGGAAAGAUGAAAAGAACCUUGAAAAGAGAGUUAAACAGUACGUGAAAUUGUCAAAAGGGAAGCGUUUGACACCAGUGUUGUUUUUCUGAAAAUCAAUUAAAGAACUGUUUAUGCUAAGUUGUUUAGACUUUAUCAGCUAACUGUUUAGUUUUGAGCUUUUCUUUAAUGCACUUUUCAGUUAACAAGUCAACAUCAAUUUCUUUUGCUGUAAAAAAGCUUGAGGAAGGUGGCUUGAGAUUCGUCUUAAGUGUUUAUAGCCUCUUGCCUAUGCAGUCGGAGAGAUUGAGGUCUGCAGCGUAGAUCCUUCGGGGCUAAAUGCAUUUGUGCUAAGUUAUAGCAUUUUAUAGACAACUUGUUGACUAUGAUUUGUCUUGUAGCUUACUCGCUUAUGUUAUUUUACCUACGCUUAGGAUGUUGACACACGCGCGUGCUCG